CCGUUGCGAGAGCUACUAGAAGCACCCAUCAAUUUUGCGAAUAGAGUUCUGGAAUCAAAGUUCAUCUAAAUUCACAAAUUUGAGGUAUGUGGGGUUUGAAUAAGAACACCCUUUCGUUCUUGUGCCCAAAACUUAUUUUGGAUUAUAAAUUACUGAAUUUUUAAUUAUUUUCCAUGAAAUUCUAGUUGGGGUUUAUACCCAUGGUUGUUAAUUAUAAGCUUAUAA
Molecule: long non-coding RNA, 225 nt
Filed under: Capsicum annuum
Lineage: Eukaryota; Viridiplantae; Streptophyta; Magnoliopsida; Solanales; Solanaceae
Description: long non-coding RNA (CANN_LNC013395)
Source: RNAcentral